CGCUGGCGGCGUGCUUAACACAUGCAAGUCGAACGGGAUCCAUCAAGCUUGCUUGGUGGUGAGAGUGGCGAACGGGUGAGUAAUGCGUGACCGACCUGCCCCAUACACCGGAAUAGCUCCUGGAAACGGGUGGUAAUGCCGGAUGUUCCAGUUGAUCGCAUGGUCUUCUGGGAAAGCUUUCGCGGUAUGGGAUGGGGUCGCGUCCUAUCAGCUUGACGGCGGGGUAACGGCCCACCGUGGCUUCGACGGGUAGCCGGCCUGAGAGGGCGACCGGCCACAUUGGGACUGAGAUACGGCCCAGACUCCUACGGGAGGCAGCAGUGGGGAAUAUUGCACAAUGGGCGCAAGCCUGAUGCAGCGACGCCGCGUGAGGGAUGGAGGCCUUUCGGGUUGUAAACCUCUUUUAUCGGGGAGCAAGCGUGAGUGAGUGUACCUUUCGAAUAAGCACCGGCUAACUACGUGCCAGCAGCCGCGG
Molecule: ribosomal RNA, 475 nt
Filed under: Bifidobacterium longum subsp. infantis
Lineage: Bacteria; Bacillati; Actinomycetota; Actinomycetes; Bifidobacteriales; Bifidobacteriaceae
Description: bacterial SSU rRNA
Rfam family: Bacterial small subunit ribosomal RNA
Source: RNAcentral